AGUGAACGCUGGCGGUAGGCCUAACACAUGCAAGUCGAACGGCAGCACAGUAAGAGCUUGCUCUUACGGGUGGCGAGUGGCGGACGGGUGAGGAAUACAUCGGAAUCUACUUUUUCGUGGGGGAUAACGUAGGGAAACUUACGCUAAUACCGCAUACGACCUACGGGUGAAAGCAGGGGAUCUUCGGACCUUGCGCGAUUGAAUGAGCCGAUGUCGGAUUAGCUAGUUGGCGGGGUAAAGGCCCACCAAGGCGACGAGCCGUAGCUGGUCUGCGAGGAUGAUCAGCCACACUGGAACUGAGACACGGUCCAGACUCCUACGGGAGGCAGCAGUGGGGAAUAUUGGACAAGGGGCGCAAGCCUGAUCCAGCCAUAGCGCGUGGGUGAAGAAGGCCUUCGGGUUGUAAAGCCCUUUUGUUGGGAAAGAAAAGCAGCAGGUUAAUACCCCGCUGUUCUGACGGUACCCAAAGAAUAAGCACCGGCUAACUUCGUG
This 492-nucleotide ribosomal RNA is filed under the name uncultured bacterium. Its description in RNAcentral is "partial 16S ribosomal RNA". It matches the Rfam family "Bacterial small subunit ribosomal RNA", at positions 29 to 507 of the family's 1533-position model. The record is from RNAcentral.